Molecule: long non-coding RNA, 160 nt
Organism: Pipistrellus kuhlii (Kuhl's pipistrelle)
Lineage: Eukaryota; Metazoa; Chordata; Mammalia; Chiroptera; Vespertilionidae
Exons: 3
Source: RefSeq, a predicted model, not a curated record
UACUGGCACCUUGUAAUCUUCCCUACUUCAAGGAGCUGGAGUUCCCCUCUCAGAAUUCACCAAAGACCACACAGCACAGUUGUCACUUUCUUCACCGCUGUGUCCUCAGCCAAACAAACACAGUGCCUGGCACACAGUAUGUGCUCAGUAAGAGCUCAAU